UGCANUGGGCGAAGCCUGAUGCAGCGACGCCGCGUGGGGGAUGAAGCUUUUCGGAGUGUAAACCCCUUUCGNCUGGGACGAAUGCCCGCAAGGGAGUGACGGUACCAGGAUAAGAAGCCCCGGCUAACUACGUGCCAGCAGCCGCGGUAAGACGUAGGGGGCCAGCGUUGUUCGGAAUUACUGGGUGUAAAGGGUUCGUAGGCGGUGNGGCAAGUNGGGAGUGAAAUCUNUGGGCUNAACCCAGAGGCUGCUUCCNAAACUGCUGUGCUNGAGUGUGAGAGAGGCUCGUGGAAUUGCAGGUGUAGCGGUGAAAUGCGUAGAUAUCUGCAGGAACACCCGUGGCGAAAGCGGCGAGCUGGANCACUACUGACGCUGAGGAACGAAAGCUAGGGGAGCAAACAGGAUUAGAUACCCUGGUAGUCCUAGCCCUAAACGAUCAGGACUUGGGGUGCCNCCCGUUCGGGNGUCGUCCCGGAGCUAACGCGUUAAGUCCUGCACCUGGGGAGUACGGUCGCAAGACUGAAACUCAAAAGAUUGGACCGGAAAGGGCGAA
RNAcentral lists this ribosomal RNA (553 nucleotides) under uncultured bacterium. RNAcentral's name for it is "bacterial SSU rRNA". It matches the Rfam family "Bacterial small subunit ribosomal RNA", at positions 367 to 927 of the family's 1533-position model. The record is from RNAcentral.